AUGGGGGACAUGGAGCAUCCACGAGCUGCUGGAGUUGGUCAUCCUGUGAUGCCGUCGAGGUGGUUUCCACCAACUGAAGGAGCAGCCAAAGAAAAUGUUGAUGGUGCAAUUUCAUUUCAGAAUAAUAGGUGUGCUGCAGCAGCGAUAUUCAGAAGUGAAGGUGGAGUAUUUUUGGGUGCUUCGGUCCAGGUGAUCAAUGGUGUGAUAGACCCACCAUGUGCUGCUGAAGCUAUAACUUGUAGGGAGGCAUUGUUCUUAGCGUGGGAUAUUAAUGUUCAGCGUGCAGAUGUGGCAUCAGAUUGGAUGGAUGUUGUACGUGCUAUGGAGAAAGGGAGCAGAUGCGGGAAUUCCAUGAUCAUUAAGGAGGUUGCGAGUUUGAGUGCUGAAUUAGGAGAUUUUAAGUUUAAAUUUGAGAGGAGAGAAGACAAUGUUGAUGCUCAUAAUAACAUUGCUAAGAACUCUUUACAUCUUCCGUAA
This 477-nucleotide ribosomal RNA is filed under the name Triticum aestivum (bread wheat). Its description in RNAcentral is "partial small subunit ribosomal RNA". The record is from RNAcentral. Lineage: Eukaryota; Viridiplantae; Streptophyta; Magnoliopsida; Poales; Poaceae.